This 471-nucleotide ribosomal RNA is filed under the name uncultured bacterium. RNAcentral describes it as "bacterial SSU rRNA". It matches the Rfam family "Bacterial small subunit ribosomal RNA", at positions 335 to 799 of the family's 1533-position model. The record is from RNAcentral.
ACUCCUACGGGAGGCAGCAGUGGGGAAUAUUGCACAAUGGGGAAACCCUGAUGCAGCCAUGCCGCGUGUGUGAAGAAGGCCUUCGGUUGUAAAGCACUUUCAGUAGGGAGGAAGGUAGUGUAGUUAACACCUGCACUAUUUGACGUUACCUACAGAAGAAGCACCGGCUAACUCCGUGCCAGCAGCCGCGGUAAUACGGAGGGUGCGAGCGUUAAUCGGAAUUACUGGGCGUAAAGCGCAUGCAGGCGGCCUGUUAAGUCAGAUGUGAAAGCCCGGGGGCUUAACCUCGGAAUUGCAUUUGAAACUGGCAGGCUAGAGUCUUGUAGAGGGGGUAGAAUUUCAGGUGUAGCGGUGAAAUGCGUAGAGAUCUGAAGGAAUACCAGUGGCGAAGGCGGCCCCCUGGACAAAGACUGACGCUCAGAUGCGAAAGCGUGGGGAGCAAACAGGAUUAGAUACCCUGGUAGCACAGAG